GACAGCAGCAGCCACGGUAAUACGUAGGGUGCGAGCGUUAAUCGGAAUUACUGGGCGUAAAGCGUGCGUAGGCGGUGAGUUAAGUCUGCUGUGAAAUCCCCGGGCUCAACCUGGGAAUGGCAGUGGAUACUGGCUCGCUAGAGUGUGUCAGAGGAUGGUGGAAUUCCCGGUGUAGCGGUGAAAUGCGUAGAGAUCGGGAGGAACAUCAGUGGCGAAGGCGGCCAUCUGGGACAACACUGACGCUGAGGCACGAAAGCGUGGGGAGCAAACAGGAUUAGAUACCCGCGUAGUCCCUGUCUCUUAUAC
RNAcentral lists this ribosomal RNA (306 nucleotides) under uncultured bacterium. RNAcentral's name for it is "partial 16S ribosomal RNA". It matches the Rfam family "Bacterial small subunit ribosomal RNA", at positions 507 to 807 of the family's 1533-position model. The record is from RNAcentral.